Molecule: ribosomal RNA, 468 nt
Filed under: uncultured bacterium
Lineage: Bacteria
Description: partial 16S ribosomal RNA
Rfam family: Bacterial small subunit ribosomal RNA
Source: RNAcentral
GACGAACGCUGGCGGCGGGCUUAACACAUGCAAGUCGAACGGAAAGGCCCUGCUUUUUUGUGGUGCUCGAGUGGCGAACGGGUGAGUAACACGUGAGUAACCUGCCCUUUACUUUGGGAUAAUUUCAGGAAACUGGGGCUAAUACCGGAUAGUAGCUCCUGCUGCCUGGUGGGGGUUGGAAAGUUUCGGCGGUUGGGGAUGGACUCGCGGCUUAUCAGCUUGUUGGUGGGGUAGUGGUUUACCAAGGCUUUGACGGGUAGCCGGCCUGGGAGGGUGACCAGCCACAAUGGGACUGAGGUAGGGACCAGACUGCAACAGGAGACAACAGUGGCGAAUAUUGCACAACGGGCGGAAGCCUAAUGCAGCAACGCUGCGUGCGGAAAGACGGCCUUCGGGUUGUAAACCGCUUUAGCCUGUGACGAAGCGUGAGUGACGGUAAUGGGUAAAGAAGCACCGGCUAACUACGUG